AUGAUACCCUUUAGCUUCACAGUGACAAGUCAUUUUCUCAUUACUUUGGCUCUUUCAUUUUCCAUUUUUAUAGGCAUUACGAUCGUUGGAUUUCAAAGACAUGGGCUUCAUUUUUUUAGCUUCUUAUUACCUGCGGGAGUCCCACUGCCGUUAGCACCUUUCUUAGUACUCCUUGAGCUAAUCUCUUAUUGUUUUCGUGCAUUAAGCUUAGGAAUACGUUUAUUUGCUAAUAUGAUGGCCGGUCAUAGUUUAGUAAAGAUUUUAAGUGGGUUUGCUUGGACUAUGCUAUUUCUGAAUAAUAUUUUCUAUUUCAUAGGAGAUCUUGGUCCCUUAUUUAUAGUUCUAGCAUUAACCGGUCUGGAAUUAGGUGUAGCUAUAUCACAAGCUCAUGUUUCUACGAUCUCAAUUUGUAUUUACUUGAAUGAUGCUACAAAUCUCCAUCAAAAUGAGUCAUUUCAUAAUUGA
RNAcentral lists this ribosomal RNA (465 nucleotides) under Triticum aestivum (bread wheat). RNAcentral describes it as "partial small subunit ribosomal RNA". Lineage: Eukaryota; Viridiplantae; Streptophyta; Magnoliopsida; Poales; Poaceae. The record is from RNAcentral.